GAUAUCUCGGCUCUCGCAUCGAUGAAGAACGUAGCGAAAUGCGAUACCUGGUGUGAAUUGUAGAAUCCCGCGAACCAUCGAGUUUUUGAACGCAAGUUGCGCCCGAGGCCUUCCGGCCGAGGGCACGUCUGCCUGGGCGUCACGCCAAAAGACACUCCCCCCCCAUCGGGGAGGGGGAUGCGGCAUGUGGCCCCCCGUCUCGCAAGGGGCGGUGGGCCGAAGAUAUGGCUGCCGGCGUAUCGUGCCGGACACAGCACAAGGUGGGCGUUCUGUCUAAUCUUAUCGCAGUGUAUCAGGUGCGUAGCCGGCAGAAUGGGCCUCUAAAGACCCUUUGAACGAUGUGCAUGUCGCUCGGACCGCGACCCCAGGUCAGGCGGGACUACCCGCUGAAUUUAAGCAUAUAAAUAAGCGGAGGAGAAGAAACUUACAAGGAUUCCCCUAGUAACGGCGAGCGA
This 455-nucleotide ribosomal RNA is filed under the name Tenaxia disticha var. disticha. RNAcentral's name for it is "eukaryotic LSU rRNA". The stretch from base 1 to 142 matches the Rfam family "5.8S ribosomal RNA". The record is from RNAcentral. Lineage: Eukaryota; Viridiplantae; Streptophyta; Magnoliopsida; Poales; Poaceae.